AGAUGUCCUAGGUCCUCCCAAUUCUUAGUCCUUUUAUACCUGUUUUUCUCCUUCCCUUAUUCCAUUUAGUUUUUCAAUUCAUACAAAACCAUAUCCAGGCCAUCACCAAUCAUUCUAUACGACAAAUGUUUCUUCUAACAUCCCCACAAUAUCACCCCUUACCACAAGAUCUCCCUUCAGCUUAAUCUCCCCCACUCUAGGUUCCCACGCUGCCCCUAAUCUCGCUUGAAGCAGCCCUGAGAAACAUCGCCCAUUCUCUCUCCAUACCACCCUCAAAAAUUUUCGCUGCCCCAACACUUCAACACUAUUUUGUUUUAUUUUUCUUAUUAAUAUAAGAAGGCAGGAAUGUCAGGCCUCUGAGCCCAAGCCAAGCCAUCGUAUCCCCUGUGACUUGCACGUAUACGCCCAGAUGGCCUGAAGUAACUGAAGAAUCCCAAAAGAAAUGAAAAGGCCCUGCCCCGCCUUAACUGAUGACAUUCCACCACUGUGAUUGGUUCCUGCCCCACCUUAACUGAGUGAUUAACCCUGUGAAUUUCCUUCUCCUGGCUCAGAAGCUCCCCCACUGAGCACCUUGUGACCCCCGCCCCUGCCCACCAGAGAACAACCCCCUUUGACUGUAAUUUUCCAUUACCUUCCCAAAUCCUAUAAAACAGCCCCACCCCUAUCUCCCUUCACUGACUCUCUUUUGGGACUCAGCCCACCUGCACCCAGGUGAAAUAAACAGCUUUAUUGCUCACACAAAGCCUGUUUGGUGGUCUCUUCACAGGGACGCACAUGAAACAUACUGUCUGUAAGAACCAGCCCUAAGCACUGGCAGCAUAGACUCACAUUGAGAUGACUUUUCAGCCCUGUCCUCAAGAAGCUUGAAAUUUAGUUGAGGAGAUCGGAAACAAAUGAGUUAAAUAGUUUAGAGAAAUGAAGAAAACAAUUGAAAAAGAGAGAAUGGAAAAGAAUAGAAACACUUGUCUCUAAGUUUCUUACGAAGAAUAGUUGGUAUUUAGGAGGCUUCUCUCAAUAAAAAAAGAAACCAACAAAACUAUGUUAUUAAUGAUAAUAUUAACCAAAAAACCAAACUCUGUAAAACACUUUAAAGAAGUUUAUUCUGAGUCUAUAUGAGUGACCACAGCCCAGAGAAACACAAAUCCAAGAAGCCAUUAACAAGUGACACAGCCAAAUUACAUUUUGGCUUUAUAUAUUUCAGGGAGGCAGGAGUUAAUUACAGGCAAAGACAUAAACCAAUACAUGGAAGGUAUACAUUGGUUUGGCCUGAAAAGGUGGGCUAUCUUGAAGUGGGGCUUUCAGGUUAUAGGUGAAUAGAGAGAUUCUUUAAUUUGCAAUAGGAUAAAGGAGUAAAGCUCUGUCUAAAACUUGAGUCAGCAGAAAGGACUGUUUUAAGUUAACAUAAGGAUGUUAUGUGGCAAGGAUGAUGGCCUGCAGAUGGAACUUGACUCUUGACUUGCAUGCCUUAGGUCUUGUGUAUAAUUUGUAAUCUUAUUGCCACAAAGAGUCUCUUUUGUCAGCCUUAUGAUCACUGUUUUAACAUUAAUACUAGUCAGUAGUUGUGCCUAAACUCCAAAAGGGAAGGGGCAUAAUGAGGUGUGUUCCAUCUGCUUUCCUUCAGGUCCAGGAACUCACUUUUUAUGGUUUCUCUGGGGUCCCCUUUGGCUAAGAGAAGGUCUGUUCAGCAGACAGACCUAGGCACUGCCCUCUUCCCCAAGCCAGCAGGAAAUAAGCACACAGCAUUUCUACUUUCCAUAUCUAAUCGUGAUGUUUAGGCUGACAGCAAAAGUGCCAGGUACUGUCAGUUGUGAUCACAGUCACCAAACUGGAGAACAUGGACUGAGACCCCGACAUUGACCAAACCUGAGACUGAGACAGCAGCUGCUUCACAUCUCUACCACACAGAUGCAGAUGCAGUUGCAAAGCAGUAGUACUCGGGAGUGAAAGGCAGUCAUGCUCCUCUGGUUCAUCUCGCAUCCUGUGUUGUCCACAUUGCACCCCUGUCCCUUUCCAUUUAUCACGCCAGUCUUGACAAAGAGGCAUGCUGUUUUUUUCCCUGCUUUAACCUGUUUCAGAAAUGCUGACCUUGCGAAGGUAAGUAAUUCUCACAUCUUUUUCUUAACAUUUAAUUUUUUUUUUAUUCCAGCUGACAGAGCGAAGUGUUAGGUACAAACUUAACAGAUACUCAAAUUAGUUGUUCCUAAAAUAAUUUCUUGCUAAUUGGGCAAUUAUUUUAUGUUAUAUUGAUGGGGGGAAAGGAUACAUGGCACUUCAAUUAUAGGGUAAAAUAAUAAAAAAAGUCAAUUAAUACUUGACUUCAAUAUUCUUUUAUAAAACAACCAGGGCUGUGUGUGUGUCCUCUUCAUCCCCGCUCACACCCACUGUAGGAUGAAAAAUAGGGGAAUGGAGGUGUGUUCAGACUCAAGAAUAUACACUGGGCCCUAGAAUAAAUAAUUGAUGAUCUUAAAAAGAGCAUAUCUACAAUGGAGAGAAUGAACAAACACUUGCUUGGUUUAUAGAUAUCUUUCCCUGAGAUUUCAAACAUACUUUUUCCUUGCUUUUGAUUUCUUGGAUUUUUUUAAAACAAUUUUCAUGGUGUUACUGAAUAUACUAGUUUCCUAUUGCUGUUAUGAAAAAUUACCAAAAACUGUGUGGUUAAAACAACACAAAUUUAUUAUCUUACAGUUCUGGAGGUCAGAAGUCCUAAAUGGGUCUUACGGCUAAAAUCAUGUCAGCAGAGCUACAUAUCUGGAGGAUAUUUUCCAGAUCCUAGAGGCUGCCUACAUUCUUAGGCUUAGGGCCUUUUCCUGUAUCUCUUAAACUCAUCUCUCCAAUCUCAGCUUCCAUUGUCAAAUCUCCUCUUUGAUUCUAACCUUCUAACUUCCUCUUAAAAUGACACUUGCGGUUAAACUAAACCCCCACCCAGAUGAUUCAGAAAAAUCUCCCAUCCUCAAAUCCUUCACUUAAUCAUAUCUGCAAAGUUUACUUUGCCAUGUAAGGUGACAUAUUCACAAAUUCUGGAGAUUAAGACAGGGAUAUCUUUGGAGACAAUUAUUUUGUUUACCACAGUGACUUCCUUUCAGUUUUCACCAAAAAAAUUGCUCACUUAUUUUAUGCAAUGUGCCAGUAUGCUCUCCCAUCUAUCUAUCCUCCUCUUCUGCUCAGCUCUGUAACAUAGAAAGCUAUACCUCCAAGCCCCUCUGCCAUUCUAGCUUCUAGAUAGGUUUUACUAUAGAUUGGGAAGCAAUGGUGUAAAAUUAAAGGACUUGACGCAGGGAGAAGUCAAGAUAUAUUUCCCUUUCUCUCUGUUUCCUGUGGUGUGUCUUGGUGUUGGCUGCAUCUCCUCCACCUCUGAAGAAUACCCCCAUUAUGUACUCAGAUGAUAUCAGCCGCCCCUGCUUUUGCUAGAUAAUACUGUUGUCUUCCUUGCUGUAGGAUUUGUGGCACCUUCUUGAGUGUUUAUAAUCUCUUUUAUCCCCAUCUUAGUAUGACUUCUUAGCUCUUUCAUUACCUGUACUAAUCUUGAGUUAAAUACCUCAGAAACAGAGUCUUUUCUGUUUUACUAGCCAAACCCUGACUUCCAUGCUAAUCCAGGCAGAGUCUAAAUCAGUGAAUUUACUCAGGGAUUAAUCACCCCUGAGAAUGGGGGCCAUGGAGACUCUGCUUCCCCCUUACACACAAAGCUGGGAAACAUCACCCAGGCAUGCAUAGAAGCAGUACAUGGCAAGGCUCAGGCUCCUUUGUAUUUAUGCCGGUUCUUCCUUAUAUGUCUCUACAAUCAUGCUUGUAAACAACACAUGAAAUAAACAUGCUAUAUUUUGAUCUCUUAUGUCAUAUUCUCUGGAUUCUGCAAGGUGGCUCCGAAAUACCAGAGCUGGUUUACCACAGUUUAAAUGAAAUCACUUCAUCUGAUGGCUGUGUGGGAAAUGCUGGAGUCCUGUCUCACCUCCGUGGGUCUACCUACUUACCCAGUAUUUCCUCAACUAUAAUGGGCAUAGGGAUCACUCUGAAGGGAAAAAAAAAGGCCCUCGUGGAUGUUGAAAGCAUCUUUUUCAUUAAAGUCAAUGCCAAAGUUCUCCAAGGCAAGCCAAAGCAGCAACUGAGGUAUAUGAUUAUGCAACAUCCUCAACAUGGAGACAGACAUUUUUAAAUUAACUCUGACUUCCUGGCCUAAUUCCCUCUCUUCUGGUAUCCAUACUGGUAAUUUGAAGCCUUGUAAUGUAACACUUUGUAGAGCUAGACUUUAAAGGGAGGGGACUCCUCUAGUUAGUGGUCUUUGCUUUAGCCAGAGAGUCAAAUAUGGCACAUGCUAGGAUUAGGAAUACUGAGCUUUCUCUGAUGUCUACAUUAUCAGCAAAAUUAAGGGUCAUGGUACAACCAUAGUUCCUGUCUUUUUAAACACCAUCUGAAAGAAGUUAGCCUUUACUAAUAAGUUGUAAAUCUGCCUAAAAUUGUCAUUUCCCAAGGGUACUCUGGCAAAUAAAUAUAUCUUAUCAAAAUAGUAAAUCUUUCACUGAGUACAGGAAUACCUUAUUAUAUUGCACUUCACUUUAUUGCACUUCACAAAUAUUAGGGACUUUUUCCAAAUUGAAGGUUUGUGGCAACCUUACAUCAAGUAAGUCUAUCAUUGCCAUUUUUACAACAGCACAUGCUCAAUUACUGUCUGUGUCAUAUUUUGGUAAUUUUCAAUAUUUCAUACAUUUUCAUUGUUUUUAUAUCUGUUAUAGUGACUAGUGAUCUUUGAUGUUGGUAUUGUAAUUGUUUUAAGGCCCCACAAACUGCACCUAUAUAACAUGGCAAAUUUAAUAAAUGAUAUAUAUCUUCUGACCAUUCCACCAACU
This 4841-nucleotide long non-coding RNA is filed under the name Homo sapiens (human). Its description in RNAcentral is "HSALNT0034697". Lineage: Eukaryota; Metazoa; Chordata; Mammalia; Primates; Hominidae. The record is from RNAcentral.